GUAGAAAAUACUUAUUAUAUAGUUCAGGACCUCAUCUAACAAUAGAACAAUCAUGCAAAACAAUUGCACAUUGGAAAAAAUAAUAAAGAAACUAUGUUAUGAAUACAAUUAAAACAUAACAUUUUAAUUCCCAUGGCAAGUGGAGAACACGCAUGAGUUGGAGAUGGACAUGCAUAAGACAGUUGAACAGAUUAUUCAACAUGACAGUACUCUUAACCUAGAAAAAAGAAACUUAAAUAGCAACAACUUUGCAAAACCAAAUAUGACCAAUAUAUGGAAGUGAGUGUUCAGGCAGAACCAGUUAUCUAAGAAGCAUAUGCAACCACGCAAAUUCAAGCCAUUAAAAAAAAA
Molecule: long non-coding RNA, 351 nt
Organism: Populus euphratica (Euphrates poplar)
Lineage: Eukaryota; Viridiplantae; Streptophyta; Magnoliopsida; Malpighiales; Salicaceae
Exons: 2
Source: RefSeq, a predicted model, not a curated record